AGCGAACGCUGGCGGCGUGCCUAACACAUGCAAGUCGAACGUGAAAAGGGGCAACCCUGAGUAAAGUGGCGUACGGGUGAGUAACGCGUAGGUAAUCUACCCCAGAAUCCGGAAUAACCAGCCGAAAGGCGGGCUAAUACUGGAUAGAGCGACGGAAUCCGUAAUUGGGUUUUUCGGGAAAGGGAGCUCGCAAGAGCCCUCGUGCUGGGAUGAGCCUGCGUCUCAUUAGCUAGUUGGUGGGGUAAUGGCCCACCAAGGCUUUGAUGGGUAGCUGGUCUGAGAGGAUGAUCAGCCACACUGGAACUGAAACACGGUCCAGACUCCUACGGGAGGCAGCAGUGGGGAAUCUUGCGCAAUGGACGAAAGUCUGACGCAGCCACGCUGUGUGAGUGAAGAAGGCCUUCGGGUUGUAAAGCUCUGUCGGGCGGGACGAAAAUUUUCUGGGUUAACAGUUUAGGGAACUGACGGUACCGCCAAAGGAAGCACCGGCUAACUUCGUGCCAGCAGCCGCCGUAA
RNAcentral lists this ribosomal RNA (516 nucleotides) under uncultured bacterium. RNAcentral's name for it is "partial 16S ribosomal RNA". It matches the Rfam family "Bacterial small subunit ribosomal RNA", at positions 29 to 523 of the family's 1533-position model. The record is from RNAcentral.